Molecule: long non-coding RNA, 1445 nt
Filed under: Cucumis sativus (cucumber)
Lineage: Eukaryota; Viridiplantae; Streptophyta; Magnoliopsida; Cucurbitales; Cucurbitaceae
Description: long non-coding RNA (CSAT_LNC000465)
Source: RNAcentral
CCAACCAUUACAUAUACUCAUCUCAAGUUUCCAAAUUAAAUACACAAAUAUUUCACAAACUCCAUGCCAUUCCCCUCCAUAUCCUCCAAAACUCAAUUCCACUUCCACUUUCCCUAUCUCUGUCAAUACCACAACAAAACAAUAUGAAACAAAUGAGAAGAUUGGCCGUUGGUAAAACAUACAUAAAGAGAGAAUUCAUAAAAAAGAAAAAAAAAAGACAACCAAUAAUAAAUAAAGACCAUCUUUUUGUUCUUCGUGUUAAAUCACCAUUAAAGCUAAAAACAUAAUCACAUCCAUUACAUUAUAAGAAGUUGAAGUACAUCGAUUACAUUGUAAGACCUUCACUGCACUUCUAACUAGAAAAUCACCGAUACCAACAAACAAAUAUCAAUAUCAGUAUCAAUUAAGAAGUAAGUGAUGUUAUGAUGAAUAAGACAUAGAAUUAUGUGCUCUAACACUUUAUGAACCACACUUGGAAUACCCAAUAAUCAAAGGAGCAGAUUGGCCAUGGAAACACCACUCCUAAAGAAACAUAGCUAAAUCCAUUUUUAUGGUAUAUUCACUUAUGAGCUUGAAAAUUAGCAUAAAGCAAUUCAGAGACAUAACAACCAAUUCAAAUACUCCAUUGAAUCACUCAACUUAACUGCAACAAAAAGAAGAGCAGUACCUGAAGUAGAAGAAUUAGACAUCUUUGGCAAUGAGUUCACCAUUGACAAGCUCUCUGUAAGCAGCAACAGGCCAGCUGAAGCCUCUAAACACCAAACUAGUGGCCAAAGGAACAUCAAUGAUAAUCUCCUUUUGGGUAGGUUUCUUUUCAUCUCUAAUGGCGAUUAAGUAGCUCCUUCCAACCCAUCCAAUCCACCCAGCAAUGUAAAGGAACAAGAAUCCAGGAGUAAUGAACUCACCCCAAUGCCUCUGGUCACCACUCACAAUCAAAUGAGGCAAGCCAUCAGCACCACAAAGAAGCCCUUGUUUCCCAUAGAAGGCAAAUCGCCUCUUUGUCUUUUCGAUCGUGGCUUUGAUGGCAAGCGCCGGGGCGCUAUCCGGGGCGUAGUUCUUCAAAGAAGACUCAAGUUUCUUGAUCUGCUGCUUCUCCCUCUUGGCGAAUUGCUUGGAUUCCUUGCAGGGGGUGAGACCGGAGAUGUCGGCGACGGCGGGGAGAGGAGCGGAGAGGAGGAUGGAGGAGAGAGCCAAGGCAGCGGAGAAGGCUUGAAGAGAGGAAGAGGUGUUUUGGUUUUGAUUUUGGGAGGCGGAGCAGAGAAUAGAUGAGGAGGGUUUUGGCUUCAAGGCGAGUGGGGAGCUAAAUUUGGGCUUCAAGAGGGGUUUUGAGAGGUUAGUGGGGAUUGUGAGAGACAUUGUUGAAAUGGGUUCGAAGGAAUUGGGAAUUGCAGGAAGAAGAAGAUGGAGAUUUGGAGAAAGAGUGUGGAGGGAACGGUUUUAGAUUC